RNAcentral lists this ribosomal RNA (235 nucleotides) under uncultured bacterium. RNAcentral's name for it is "partial 16S ribosomal RNA". It matches the Rfam family "Bacterial small subunit ribosomal RNA", at positions 96 to 334 of the family's 1533-position model. The record is from RNAcentral.
UGGCGGACGGGUGAGUAAUGUCUGGGAAACUGCCUGAUGGAGGGGGAUAACUACUGGAAACGGUAGCCAAUACCGCAUAACGUCGCAAGACCAAAGAGGGGGACCUUCGGGCCUCUUGCCAUCGGAUGUGCCCAGAUGGGAUUAGCUAGUAGGCGGGGUAACGGCUCACCUAGGCGACGAUCCCUAGCUGGUCUGAGAGGAUGACCAGCCACACUGGAACUGAGACACGGUCCAG